RNAcentral lists this ribosomal RNA (405 nucleotides) under bacterium enrichment culture clone ALO1_GLFRUDD03F4T8G. RNAcentral describes it as "bacterial SSU rRNA". It matches the Rfam family "Bacterial small subunit ribosomal RNA", at positions 9 to 416 of the family's 1533-position model. The record is from RNAcentral. RNAcentral also lists the same sequence under 3 other names.
GAGUUUGAUCGUGGCUCAGAUUGAACGCUGGCGGCAUGCCUUACACAUGCAAGUCGAACGGCAGCACGGGAGCUUGCUCCUGGUGGCGAGUGGCGAACGGGUGAGUAAUGCAUCGGAACGUAUCCUGGAGUGGGGGAUAACGUAGCGAAAGUUACGCUAAUACCGCAUAUUCUGUGAGCAGGAAAGCGGGGGACCUUCGGGCCUCGCGCUCUUGGAGCGGCCGAUGUCGGAUUAGCUAGUUGGUGAGGUAAAGGCUCACCAAGGCGACGAUCCGUAGCAGGUCUGAGAGGAUGAUCUGCCACACUGGAACUGAGACACGGUCCAGACUCCUACGGGAGGCAGCAGUGGGAAUUUUGGACAAUGGGGCAACCCUGAUCCAGCCAUGCCGCGUGAGUGAAGAAGGCC